Molecule: ribosomal RNA, 490 nt
Filed under: uncultured bacterium
Lineage: Bacteria
Description: partial 16S ribosomal RNA
Rfam family: Bacterial small subunit ribosomal RNA
Source: RNAcentral
AUUGAACGCUGGCGGCAGGCCUAACACAUGCAAGUCGAACGGUAACAGGAAACAGCUUGCUGUUUCGCUGACGAGUGGCGGACGGGUGAGUAAUGUCUGGGAAACUGCCUGAUGGAGGGGGAUAACUACUGGAAACGGUAGCUAAUACCGCAUAACGUCGCAAGACCAAAGAGGGGGACCCUCGGGCCUCUUGCCAUCGGAUGUGCCCAGAUGGGAUUAGCUUGUUGGUGGGGUAACGGCUCACCAAGGCGACGAUCCCUAGCUGGUCUGAGAGGAUGACCAGCCACACUGGAACUGAGACACGGUCCAGACUCCUACGGGAGGCAGCAGUGGGGAAUAUUGCACAAUGGGCGCAAGCCUGAUGCAGCCAUGCCGCGUGUAUGAAGAAGGCCUUCGGGUUGUAAAGUACUUUCAGCGGGGAGGAAGGGAGUAAAGUUAAUACCUUUGCUCACUGACGUUACCCGCAGAAGAAGCACCGGCUAACUCCGUG